UGAAGUUGAACAACUAAAUUCAGAUAUUACAUGCCGGUUGACAAGUUCCUAAAUACUUUCGAUUAGUUCAAGAUCUGCUCUUUUAGGAGGAAUAACUCACAUUCUGCUUGUCUCCAUGACAAAUAAUCACAAAGAAUCUUUGGCUUUGGGUAACAUAGAACCUCUGCCUCAAACUGUGGUGGCUGCACCAGUUCUUUAUUUACUUUCCAGUUCAGCAUGUAAAAAUAAGUGAAACAUGAACAUGAAGAAAGGUUUAAUCUGCAUAAGAAGUUGCAUAUCUUAUCAAAGGCUAGACCAGUUGAAAACACAUACCGUAAAAAUUCAUAAAACUAAAUAAGUACCUCUCAUCUCUUUGAUAUAAUUCGGUGUUCUCUUGGAACAAAAAGCUGCAACAAUAACAAAAAAUAAACACAUACUGUUUGAACUUAGAAGGGCCCUGUAACAACAUAUUUUGCUGAUAAAUGAAGCGACAUUUCGAUUUGACAAUUAGCUUAUUAAUACUUGCCGAAGUACCAAUUUACUCAUUUUUCGUUGUUCAGAAUACAGAAUCAGUCAGUUUGUUGCUUACUUUGCCACUGAAUUUACCUUUUCCCAUAGCCAUCUGGGAUAAUGAUGUGGAAGCUUUCAGGGAGAUUUGAUCAUAUGCCCUUAUUUUAUUUUUGCAGGGGGUCAUAUGCCCUAUUUUAGUUCGCCAUAGAUCAUACGCCCUUGUUUUCUUUGCCAUCUUGGUCAUCUGCCAUGUCUAAUUACUUGAAUAAUUUCAAAAUUCUGAGCCUAGUAAUGCCACGUGAAAUGAAGGUCACACCCCUUGGUAAACUUGCAAUUUCUCUAAACACUACAUAUCUCAACAGAACCAACCAGUCCGACAUGUCUGUCCCAUUCAACAAAGUGACCACGAUCCAUUGCGCAGAUAUUCUACUUCACUAGCUUCAGUAGCAACACUAGAAGAAGAAUGACGAAAACAAAGUACACUAAAACCUGAAGCUUUGCAUUUUGGGCGGCCAACUUCUCGAUACGUCGAUCCAGUGCUGCAGUCUCAACCCUAAUAGCAUCAAUUUGAGCUCUUGUAGCAUCAAUUUGAGCUCUUGUAGCAUCAUUUUCAGCCCUCGUAGCAUCAAUACGUCGCUGCAUUUCUCGUGACACGCGGCGAGCAGACGCAUUGCCCAUGAUGAGCACAUUUAUCAUCCAAAUUUCCUCGACCAUGUCCAAGUACUUGUCCAGCCACAUGAAGAAACGCCAGUAUUUCACCUGUCAAAACAUACUGAAGUCAGUAAGUUGCUUGAACCAGACAUCAGUCAUAUGAUAUACGACUUGGCUCUGAACAUUAAAGAACAGAGAAGCAACCUUCAUAUCCUUGCCAUUCCUUGGGCAUUCCACUGAAUAUUUGCCCGGAUUCAGACAUGUCGCUGACUGCUUCACGAUUCUCUUCCACAUUCUGGACAUCCAGUCAGAGGGAGUCCCUUUGUGGGCGUCGGCUGGGAACAGAUACGAGUGCAAAGCUAGGGUUAGCGGAGCGAGCCAAGGCUGGAGCGAAAUUGAAAGGACAGAUGCAAUCGGUAGGUAGAAUCGGUUACCUAGUCGCCGGAGGUGCGGCACACGUGCUUGCCAGAUUCGCCGCCGGGCCCGUGGUGCUGGGGCAAUAGCGGCGCCUGUAGUGCCCGAGUAGCCGAGCCUCCUGCGGUUGCUUCCUGGUGGCUGGGGACUCCGCGCCUCCGGAGCCGCUGGAGUCGCCGUGCAACGCCGCCGCCCGCCGGAGUGGCUGCACAUCGGUGCUCACGAACAGAGGACGAGACGGGGGAUUUUUUUUUUUUUUGAGGGAGCUGGUUCGGUCGGUCGGUGGAUCCGUUUGGGUCGGGCUCCGUAUGAAAACAAGACCGACUCUACGUAGCUAAAUGCCCAUGAGAUAAAAUAUAUAUGAUAAGUAUUUUUUAUCCUAUGAGCACCUUCAAGAUGGGUCGGCACAACAUCUUAAUAUUUUAUUUUAAUUUUUUCGGAAAAACUUUAAAUCUAUUCAUCAACUAUCAAGGUAGUAUAUAAAGCAGAUCAGAAAUAUAAAAAAAUGCAUUAAUGUCCGCAGACCACCUAGCGACGACUACAAACACUGAAACGAGCCGAAGGCGCGUCGCCGCCAUUGCCCUUCCACACCGGAGUUGGUCAAACCUUGUUGUAGCAAACAGUCGAAAAGUCGUCGUGUUAAUGACCUACAGGAUUAGCGUACCAGAACAACAACCCGCCACCAAUGAAGAGAAGCGUAGAUCUAAAGGACCAAAUCCCGUGAGAUUUGUCGGAGACAAACCUCCAUCUAUCCUCCGACAAUGCAAAAAGCACCGCCGAGACGGGGGCUUGACGGGGAAAACCUUAUUCCAUCUUUAAGAAGACCGUUCAACCUGUUGUCAAAACUAAACUUGGCAACCUCAUGAGCCACCAUGUUAGCGUGCCGAUUGAUCUUGAUGAUCUUGAAAUUAUUCAUAAGCUUCAUAAUGCUUCAUGCUUCCUUCUUAAGAUCAACAAAAGUGGACCUUUCAAGAAAAUCAUUUGCAAGAAAGGAGACCACAAAAGAGCUAUCAAAUUCUACAAUAACGGGUUCGUUGAGACUGAUACCAACAUAAAGCCCAGCAAGGCACGCACGAAUCAUUGCUUCAUCAACACAUGUGCACGACAAUAAAAUCCCAAGAAGAAAGGAUGAUUUGACCCGUAUGAUCUCUGGCAACAACCCCCACGCUGGCAGCUUUCAUGCUCUCCACAAAGCUGGCAUCAAACCCAUUAACCAUUGCGCAAAGGGCGCACCCUCGCAACGUCCGCAUUGGCAGGAAGCACUGUUUCAUCGGGCGAAUUGUUAUGGGAGCCAGUCGGGAGAGAGAUCUGUGCCUGGCCAAUCGGCUUCAUCAGACCAGUUCCUGGUGUAGUGCGUCGUCGGCUGAAAGGCACCGGUUGGUUGUGCGCAUGGGGCGUUGGAGGCAUCGUGCGCACCCGAGUUGAGUGCACGAAGGUGGGAUCAUGUACCUCUGCCUCGUGGCAUUGUUUUUGUCUACUUUGGGCGUCGUCGUCUCUUUCUCCUUCACACACACGUCUCCUCCUCUCUUCCUUUCCCACUCGUGCACGCCACUUCCUCUCAUUCCUUCUCCCCUUUGUCUCAGCGCUCCUCAAUCUCCCACCGCGACCGCUCGAGAACGACGGCGAUGAGGAGGCCCGACCCUUGGCGCGGACCCGCGCCCCUGAGCAGUGGUGACGUCAGAUCUCUCUGCACUAGUAGAAAACGGAGCUUUAAUACCGGUUCAUAAGGGCCUUUAAUACCGGUUCUGCAACCGGCACUAAAGAGUGGAGACUAAAGCCCCCCCUCCCCCCCUUUAGUACCGGUUCGGCACAAACCGCCACUAAAGACCCACCACGUGGCGCGAGCUCGCGCCGUGGUAUGGACCUUUAAUACCGGUUGGUGUUACCAACCGGUACUAAAGGUAUUAUUAUUUUUGAUUUUGAAAAAAAAAUUGAUUUUUUUAUUUUCAAUUUUUUGAAUUAUUUGAUGAUUUAGUCUCUAAUUGCCCCUCUUAACUACUCAAGUGUGGAUCAUUCAUUCCAAAUCGUCUAACUUCUCGCCCGGUCACCCAUCCUCUCACUCCCCCAGUCUGAGCACGCUUAACUUCGGAGUUCUAUUCUCCCUACUUUCCAAGUCUGCACUUGUUGUUUUCCUGACAAAUGUAAGCUGUAAAUCCUAUUAACCCUCAGCAGUUUAGUUUGAGCAUUAGGUCACACAUUUCACCGUUUGAGUUUUAAACUAUUAUUUAAAAAAACAGUAAUUAUUUAGUAACACUAAUAUUUCUGAAAUAAGUUUGACCACAGUUUGACCAUAGUUUGACCAGAUUUGACCAAAAUUCAAAAAAUUGAAAUAAUUAUUUAGUAAUACUAAUAUUCUUGAAUAAGUAUGUAGUAACAUUAAUACUUCUUGAAUAAGUAGUUUGACCAUAGUUUGACCAGAUUUAACCAAAAUUAAAAAAAACUUAAAUCUGAGCAUAUCUUUUUCUCCUUUUGGUAUUUGAGGAUUCUAAAAAAUUGCAAAUAGGCCGUAAGCUGUCAAAAUCGGAUGCGGAUUUUCGUGCUGAUUUUUUUUUAUAUUAUACGUUUUUUUCCGACAUUGUAUGCAAAAGUUAUAGCCGUUUUACAUUUCCCCUACACUUUUUGCAAAACAUGUCCAAAUUUAAGUUUUUUAAUUUUCCUAACUAGUAGAUGUAGUAAUAUAACUACAUCUCGAAGAAUUUUAUUUUUUGAAUUCUUUAUCAUUUUCUUUUGUAUUUUUCAAAACCGAAAUGGCGAUAUACAGGGGGGUAGAGAUUUAAAAUUGCUCUUUAGUACCGGUUUGUGCCACGAACCGGUAUUAUAGGUCAAAACCCUUUAGUACCGGUUCGUGGCACGAACCGGUACUAAAGGUUAGCCCUUUAGUACCGGUUUGUGCCACGAACCGGUACUAAAGGUGAUCGCGGGGCCCCGGCCUAACGCCAGCCUGCCACCACCCCUUUAGUACCGGUUCAUGGCACGAACCGGUACUAAAGGUUCAAAACGAACCGGCAUUAAUGCAUAGCCGUUCGAACCGUCACUAAUGGUACCAUUAGUACCAGACCAAAAUCGAACCGGCACUAAUGUGUCUCACAUUAGGUCCUUUUUCUACUAGUGCUGUCUCGCGAGGCCGGCCAUCCCGUCUGUGUUGCGACGCCGCCGGUAUGAAGGCCGGGCUCCGGCAGCCAACGCGGUGUCAUGUGCGCCCGCGGGGGCUCUGGGGACCGCGUGCGGGGGACUGCGCAACGUCCAGUCGUGGGUUCUGCUAAUGCCAAGCCGUAGAUCUGAGCUGCUGUCUCCACUUCCUCCUUCCUGACUUCAAAGUAUGAUCAGCUAGAUCAUUUCUUCUCAUCAGACGCACCACCAGUUUGUCUUGGUUGCUAAAAUCAAUCAAUGCCUCCAAGGUAUGGAGGGGACGGGGCCUUCCCAAUUAUGGGUAUUCAGAUCUGCCCUACUCAUGGCAGCAUAAUGUAUUUUGUCAUAGGUUACCAAUUAUUGUUGUGAGAUGAGCCAACUUGUAGAUUUUUCAAAAGGGAUCCUGAAUUCUCUGACUACAAGUUCAGAAAGACAACAAGAUAACACAUGGACAACUUGAUUCAGUGGUUUGUAAGUUGCUGCAUGAUGCUAACUUGGGAAAUCUCUCUAUUGGCUAUGAAAGCAUGCAUUUGCAUAUUGCAGCUGGGUGAUUGUUGAAACAAUAUCCUUUUUUCUUUUGAUGAUUUUUAUUCUUAACUGCUUUGGCAGGGAUCCUCCAUAUCAAGGGAAGAGCGGGGUAGUGUGGGCGAGGGAAGUCCUUGUGUACCAGGUGGAGCUCCUCGUUCCUCUCAUUCUCCCCCUUUUGAUUAUGCCUGCCUCACUUCCAUGUCUCUUCGGCCCUUUUAUUUCUCUUAACAUUUUUCUAAAUGUCAUAAUUGUCACAAUUGUGCAGGUUUCUGAAAGAAACACGAAAGGAAACAAGAUCGAAUAUGGUGAAUCCUAAUGCUUUACGUGCACAACGCGAAUCCUUGGCGUUGCUUAUUCAUGUGGAUGCGUGCCCCUUGCAUGUACAUGUUUCUUUCCUCUCUCUCCCUGCACACACGCUGCACAUACGGAACAUGCAUGCCGACUUUAUCUUCCCUCUCCCUUCUAAUUAAAUCACCUUUUGUUUUGCUUUGACAAUUUAGAUGGUUCAUAUCUUUCAAACCAAAAUUGUGUUUUUAAAACUUUUUAUAUAUUUGAACUCGUGGUGCCAGGCCCUUUAGAACAAGAUCAGGUACGGGAGCUCUCAAAGCGAACGCUACGCUCUCGAGACGUAGGGAACUCUCAUGUGAAGAAGGUAAGUGCAAGAUGGGCCAGCCCAGGCGCCCGGGAGCUACAACCUUGUUUUUCCUUUCAUGAUUUUUUUCUUUUUAGCUUUUUUUACUUUUAUUUAUACUUCCAAAUAUGAUAAUAAAUAGAUUACAAAAAAUUACGUAAAAUAUUUGGAAAAAAUGUUAACCAAAGCGUUCAAUUUUUUUAAAUGGUUUUUUUGCGGGAUUUUUUUUAAAAAUGUUAACCAAGCAUUUGAAAAAAAAUGUUAAAUAUGUUAACCAAGCGUUUGAAAAAAAUGUUAAAUAUGUUAACCAAGCUUUUCCAAAAAAUUGUGUCUCAUGUAUUAAAAAUAUAUACAAUGUGUGUGAUAAAUGUUGAUCAUGUAUUUAAAAAUGGUAAUCCAGCAUUUGAAAAAUAUUGAGCAUGUAUUCAAAAAAUAUUAAUCUUCUAUUUCAAAAAAUUUAAUCAAGCAUUUGAAAAAUGCUAAAUGUGUAUAGAAAAAAAUGUUAACCAUGUUUUAGAAAAUGUUAAUCUUGUACUUGAAAAAUGUUAGUCAAGCAUUUGAAAAAAUGUUAAACUUCUAUUUGAAAGAUUUUAAACAUGUAUUACAAAAAUGUAUUAAAUAAAUACCCAAAAUGUAUCAUGUGUACGAAAAUAUAGAUAUAAAAAUAUAAAUUUUCAAAGAAUGUUUAUCAUGUAGUUCAACAUGCUAAACAUGUAUAUAAAAAUAUUUCUGAUGUAUACAAGAAUAUUGAAUGUGUACUAACCGAUGUUUUCGAGUCGACGUGUCGACGGGNNNNNNNNNNNNNNNNNNNNNNNNNNNNNNNNNNNNNNNNNNNNNNNNNNNNNNNNNNNNNNNNNNNNNNNNNNNNNNNNNNNNNNNNNNNNNNNNNNNNNNNNNNNNNNNNNNNNNNNNNNNNNNNNNNNNNNNNNNNNNNNNNNNNNNNNNNNNNNNNNNNNNNNNNNNNNNNNNNNNNNNNNNNNNNNNNNNNNNNNNNNNNNNNNNNNNNNNNNNNNNNNNNNNNNNNNNNNNNNNNNNNNNNNNNNNNNNNNNNNNNNNNNNNNNNNNNNNNNNNNNNNNNNNNNNNNNNNNNNNNNNUGACUAGUCUAGACUCACCGUCGACGAGUCGACGUGACUUAAGCAGUAGGUAGUAGGUACAUUAAGUAAAUGCAACCAGAUUCAAAUGCAAGGAAAUAAGUUCAACACUUCAAGUCUUCAACACCAAAACAUGAAUGACAGAUUCAAAUGCAAGGAAAUAAGUUCAACACUUCAAGUCUUCAAUCAAUCAAGCCUCAAGCUCCAUGUCUUCAAGCUGAAAAUCGGUGUCUUCAUCAUCUGGUGAUUCAACAUCGUCUUCAUCGCUGCUCUCCAUGUCUUUGUCAUAUUCUGCUGCUUCUAAUUCAGCCCUCAACUCUUCAUCAUGCACAACCAACCUUGUUCUUGUGUUGUUCCGAGUGUAGGUGAUGUAAGGGCGUAUGGGUCGUGCAAUAGACUCGCUAGGAUCACCACGAGCUCUCCUAGGAUAGUUGCGGCCUGCUAGAGAAGUUGACGCACCCAUGGCUUCAUCAACCUGAGACAAAAGUAGUGGUGUUUCACCGUCCAUGACUUGAGCCUGAUCUUCAUGUACUAUUUCAGCAUUGAUAUCAACCCGUUCAUUAUCCCAUUCGAAUUCUUCUAGGACAAGUGGACUAGAUUUCUUUGCUUUAGAGCCUUGCUCACGCAGAUUCUGAAACCUAGCUUCCAUUUUUCGGUUGUACGAGACAUAUGAUAGCUUGUUCAAUCUCUUGUACUCUAGACGGUUUCUCCCUUUGGUGUGGAUCUGCAAGCACACAAACAUGUGAGAAGCUGCUGGAAUUAGCCUAUCAAACCAGCCAACUAAUGGCUACUUACAUGAGCAAAUACACUCCAAUUGCGCUCGCAGCCGGAUGCUGAACAACAUAGACUAAUGAUUCGCUUUGCAAGAGUUUGGAGGUCAAAAGCAAGGCCACCAUAAGCAUUCCACCAAAGAACUACAAAACCAAGAAGUCCCACAUUAAAGAUAAGGCCACAAAAACUAGCAAUUAGUGGAGUAAUUGAGCUGAACAAGAAGACACAAGCUGCCAUAAAAUUUAUGCUUACGAGGGUUUUUUUGUCACAUACUUUAAUUAACAAUGGCUUCGAGAAACAUUCACUCCCCAGCUCAUAGUCGUCAGCUUCCCUACUUAUAGUUCUUUGCUGCUCAUCAUCGGGCACCAUCUUCCAUAGCACAUCAUUGAACAUUGAACGGAGACGGGAAGCUUGUCUUUUGUUGGACUCCUUAAUGGCAAAGAAUUUAUUUGGGUUCAAGAACAAAGAAGCCCCAUGUAGCUUUUGUUCCAUCUGAUUAUCCCACCUCUUAUCAACAAUAGCUACCACUUGACCUAGGAGGUUUGGCUUAUGUGUCAAAGCUUCCUUUAUGUGUGUCUUUGCAAAAUCCAUGGUUGCCCACAUUUCUGCCAUAGCCGGGGUCUCAUCACCAUCAGCGAUCCUCAAAGCUCUAAGAAGUGGUUGUGAAGCUCUCAUGCAAUGCUCCACUGAUUGCCAAAAUGACACGGAGAUCACAGUUGCUUCAGCCGCCUUCCUGUUGGGGAACGUUGCAGAAAAUAAAAAAUUUCUACGCUUCACCAAGAUCAAUCUAUGGAGUCAUCUAGCAACGAGAGAGAUGAGUGCAUCUACGUACCCUUGUAGAUCACGCGCGGAAGCGUUCAAGAGAACGGGUUUGAGGGAGUUGUACUCGUCGUGAUCCAAAUCACCGAAGAUCCUAGUGCCGAACGGACGACACCUUCGCGUUCAACACACGUACGGUUGGGGAAGACGUCUCCUCCUUCUUGAUCCAGCAAGGGGAAGGGAGAGGUUGAUGGAGAUCCAGCAGCACGACGGCGUGGUGGUGGAAGUAGCGGCGAUCUCGGCAGGGCUUCGCCAAGCUCAGCGAUAGGGAGAGGUGUUAUGAGGGGAGAGGGACGCGCCAGGAGCAGGGGUGCGCAGCCCUCCCUCCCCCCUCUUUAUAUAGGGGCCCUGGGGGCGCCGACCCCCUAGAGAUCCCAUCUCAAGGGGGGGCGACGGUCAAGGGGGGAACUUGGCCCCCAAGCCAAGUGGGGCGCCCCCCCACCCCUAGGGUUUCCAACCCUAGGCGCAGGGGAGGCCCAAGGGGGGCGCACCAGCCCACCAGGGGCUGAUUCCCCUCCCACUUCAGCCCAUGGGGCCCUACGGGAUAGGUGGCCCCACCCGGUGGACCCCCGGGACCCUUCCGGUGGUCCCGGUACAAUACUGGUGACCCCGAAACUUUCCUGGUAGCCGAAACUGGACUUCCUAUAUACAAUUCUUCACCUCCGGACCAUUCUGGGACUCCUCGUGACGUCCGGGAUAUCAUCUGGGACUCCGAACAACUUUCGGGUUACUGCAUACUAAUAUCUCUACAACCCUAGCGUCACCGAACCUAAAGUGUGUAGACCCUACGGGUUCGGGAGACACGCAGACAUGAUCGAGACGACUCUUUGGUCCAUAACCAACAGCGGGAUCUUGAUACCCAUGUUGGCUCCCACAUGCUCCUCGAUGAUCUCAUUGGAUGAACCACGAUGUCGAGGAUUCAAGUAAUCAUGUAUACAAUUCCCUUUGUCAAUCGGUACGUUACUUGCCCGAGAUUCGAUCGUUGGUAUCCUAAUACCUCGUUCAAUCUUGUUACCAGCAAGUCACUUUACUCGUACCGAAUGCAUGAUCUUGUGACCAACCACUUAGUCGCUUUGAGCUCAUUAUGAUGAUGCAUUACCGAGUGGGCCCAGAGAUACCUCUCCGUCAUACGGAGUGACAAAUCCCAAUCUCGAUCCGUGUCAACCCAACAGAUACUUUCGGGGAUACUUGUAGUAUACCUUUAUAGUCACCCAGUUAUGUUGUGACGUUUGGUACACCCAAAGCACUCCUACGGCAUCUGGGAGUUACAUGAUCUCAUGGUAUAAGGAAAUGAUACUUGACAUGGGAAAAGCUCUAGCAAACGAACUACACGAUCUUGUGCUAUGCUUAGGAUUGGGUCUUGUCCAUCACAUCAUUCUCCUAAUGAUGUGAUCCCGUUAUCAAUGACAUCCAAUGUCCAUAGUCAGGAAACCAUGACUAUUUGUUGAUCAACGAGCUAGUCAACUAGAGGCUCACUAGGGACAUGUUAUGGUCUAUGUAUUCACACAUGUAUUAUGAUUUCCAGAUAACACAAUUAUAGCAUGAAUAAUAGACAAUUAUCAUGAACGAGGAAAUAUAAUAAUAAUCAUUUUAUUAUUGCCUCUAGGGCAUAUUUCCAACAGUCUCCCACUUGCACUAGAGUCAAUAAUCUAGUUACAUUGUGAUGAAUCGAACACCCAUAGAGUUCUGUUGUUGAUCAUGUUUUGCUCGUGGAAGAGGUUUAGUCAACGGAUCUGCGACAUUCAGAUCCGUAUGCACUUUGCAAAUAUCUAUGUCCCCAUCUUGAACAUUUUCACGAGUGGAGUUGAAGCGACGCUUGAUGUGACUGGUCUUCUUGUGAAACCUGGGCUCCUUGGCAAGGGCAAUAGCUCCAGUGUUGUCGUAGAAGAGAGUGAUCGGCCCCGACGCAUUGGGUAUGACUCCUAGGUCGGUGAUGAACUUCUUCAUCCAGAUUGCUUCAUGCGCUGCCUCCGGGGCUGCCAUGUACUCCGCUUCACAUGUAGAUCCCGCCACGACGCUUUGCUUGCAACUGCACCAGCUUACUGCCCCACCAUUCAAAAUAUACAUGUAUCCGGUUUGUGACUUAGAGUCAUCCAGAUCUGUGUCGAAGCUAGCGUCGACGUAACCCUUUACGACGAGCUCUUCGUCACCUCCAUAUACGAGAAACAUAUCCUUAGUCCUUUUCAGGUACUUCAGGAUAUUCUUGACCAUUGUCCAGUGUUCCAUGCCGGGAUUACUUUGGUACCUUCCUACCAAACUUACGGCAAGGUUUACAUCAGGUCUGGUACACAACAUGGCAUACAUGAUAGACCCUAUGGCCGAGGCAUAGGGGACAACACUCAUCUUUUCUUUAUCUUCUGCCGUGGUCGGACAUUGAGCCGAGCUCAAUUUCACACCUUGCAACACAGGCAAGAACCCCUUCUUGGACUGAUCCAUAUUGAACUUCUUCAAUAUCUUAUCAAGGUAUGUGCUUUGUGAAAGACCUAUGAGGCGUCUCGAUCUAUCUCAAUAGAUCUUGAUGCCUAAUAUGUAAGCAGCUUCCCCAAGGUCCUUCAUUGAAAAACACUUAUUCAAGUAGGCCUUAAUGCUGUCCAAAAGUUCUAUAUCAUUUCCCAUCAAAAGUAUGUCAUCCACAUAUAAUAUGAGAAAUGCUACAGAGCUCCCAGUCACUUUCUUGUAAAUGCAGGCUUCUCCAUAAGUCUGCAUAAACCCAAACGCUUUGAUCAUUUCAUUAAAGUGAAUGUUCCAACUCCGAGAUGCCUGCACCAGCCCAUAGAUGGAGCGCUAGAGCUUGCAUACCUUGUUAGCAUUCUUAGGAUCGACAAAACCUUCCGGCUGCAUCAUAUACAAUUCUUCCUUAAGAAAGCCAUUAAGGAAUGUCGUUUUGACGUCCAUUUGCCAUAUCUCAUAAUCAUAGUAUGCGGCAAUUGCUAACAUGAUUCGGAUGGACUUCAGCUUCGCUACGGGAGAGAAAGUCUCAUCAUAGUCAACCCAUUGAACUUGUCGAUAACCCUUAGCGACAAGUCGAGCUUUAUAGAUGGUAACAUUACCAUCCGCGUCCGUCUUCUUCUUAAAGAUCCAUUUGUUUUCUAUCGCUCGCCGAUCAUCGGGCAAGUCUGUCAAAGUCCAUACUUUGUUUUCAUACAUGGAUCCUAUCUCGGAUUGCAUGGCUUCAAGCCAUAUGUUGGAAUCCGGGCCCGCCAUUGCUUCUUCAUAGUUCGAAGGUUCACCGUUGUCUAACAACAUGAUUUCCAGGACAGGGUUGCCAUACCACUCUGGUGUGGAACGUGUCCUCGUGGACCUACGAAGUUCGGUAGUAAUUUGAUCCGAAGUACCUUGAUCAUCAUCAUUAAUUUUCUCUCUAGUCGGUGCAGGCACCACAGGAACAUCUUCCUGAGCUGCAGUACUUUCCGGUUCAAGAGGUAGUACUUCAUCAAGUUCCACUUUCCUCCCACUUACUUCUUUCGAGAGAAACUCUUUCUCCAGAAAGGACCCGUUCUUGGCAACAAAGAUCUUUCCUUCGGAUCUGAGGUAGAAGGUAUACCCAAUGGUUUCCUUAGGGUAUCCUAUGAAGACGCAUUUUUCCAACUUGGGUUUGAGCUUUUCAGGUUGAAGUUUCUUGACAUAAGCAUCGCAUCCCCAAACUUUUAGAAACGACGUCUUAGGUUUCUUCCCAAACCAUAAUUCAUACGGUGUCGUCUCAACGGAUUUAGACGGUGCCCUAUUUAAAGUGAAUGUAGCUAUCUCUAGAGCGUAUCCCCAAAAUGAUAGCGGUAAGUCGGUGAGUGACAUCAUAGAUCGCACCAUAUCCAAUAGUGUGCGAUUACGACGUUCGGACACACCGUUACGCUGAGGUGUUCCAGGCGGCGUGAGUUGUGAAAUGAUUCCACAUUUCCUUAAGUGCGUACCAAAUUCGUGACUUAAAUAUUCUCCCCCACGAUCUGAUCGUAAGAACUUUAUCUUCCGGUCACGUUGAUUCUCUACCUCAUUCUGAAAUUCCUUGAACUUUUCAAAGGUCUCAGACUUGUGUUUCAUCAAGUAGACAUACCCAUAUCUACUCAAGUCGUCUGUGAGAGUGAGAACAUAACGAUAGCCUCCGCAAGCCUCAAAGCUCAUUGGAUCGCACACAUCAGUAUGUAUGAUUUCCAAUAAGUUGGUUGCUCGCUCCAUUGUUUCGGAGAACGGAGUCUUGGUCAUUUUGCCCAUGAGGCAUGGUUCGCAUGUGUCAAAUGAUUCGUAAUCGAGAGACUAUAAAAGUCCAUCAGCAUGGAGCUUCUUCAUGCGCUUGACACCAAUGUGACCAAAGCGGCAGUGCCACAAGUAUGUGGGACUAUCAUUAUCAACCUUACAUCUUUUGGUAUUCACACUAUGAAUAUGUGUAACAUCACAUUCGAGAUUCGUUAAGAAUAAACCAUUGACCAGUGGGGCAUGACCACAAAACAUAUCUCUCAUAUAAAUAGAACAACCAUUAUUUUCGGAUUUAAAUGAGUAGCCAUCUCGUAUUAAACGAGAUCCAAAUACAAUGUUCAUGCUCAAAGCUGGCACUAAAUAAUAAUAAUUGAGGUUUAAAACUAAUCUCGUAGGUAAAUGUAGAGGUAGCGUGCCGACGCGAUCACAUCGACCUUGGAACCAUUCCCGACGCGCAUCAUCACCUCGUCCUUCGCCGGUCUUCGCUUAUUUCGUAGCUCCUGUUUUGAGUUACAAAUAUGAGCAACUGCACCGGUAUCAAAUACCCAGGAGCUACUACGAGUACUAGUAAGGUACACAUCAAUUACAUGUAUAUCAUAUAUACCUUUAGUGUUGCCGGCCUUCUUGUCCGCUAAGUAUUUGGGGCAGUUCCGCUUCCAGUGUCCCUUUCCCUUGCAAUAAAAGUACUCAGUCUCAGGUUUGGGUCCAUUCUUUGGCUUCUUCCCGGCAACUUGUUUACCGGGCGCGGCAACUCCCUUGCCGACCUUCUUGAAGUUCUUCUUACCCUUGCCUUUCUUGAAACUAGUGGUUUUAUUGACCAUCAACACUUGAUGUUCCUUUUUGAUUUCCACCUCCGCUGAUUUCAGCAUUGAAAAUACUUCAGGAAUAGUUUUCACCAUCCCCUGCAUAUUGUAGUUCAUCACAAAGCUCUUGUAGCUAGGUGGGAGCAACUGAAGGAUUCUGUCAAUGACCGCCUCGUCCGGGAGGUUAAUGUCUAGCUGGGACAAGCGGUUGUGCAACCCAGACAUUUUGAGUAUGUGCUCACUGACAGAACUAUUUUCCUCCAUCUUACAACUGUAGAACUUGUCGAAGACUUCAUAUCUCUCGACCCGGGCAUGAGCUUGGAAAACUAUUUUCAGCUCUUCGAACAUCUCAUAUGCUCUAUGUUGCUCAAAACGCUUUUGGAGCCCCGGUUCUAAGCUGUAAAGCAUGCCGCACUGAACGAGGGAGUAAUCAUCAGCACACGACUGCCAAGCAUUCAUAAUGUCUUGGUUCUCUGGGAUGGGUGCUUAACCUAGCGGUCCUUCUAGGACAUAUGCUUUCUUGGCAGCUAUGAGGAUGAUCCUCAGGUUCCGGACCUAGUCCGUAUAGUUGUUACCAUCAUCUUUCAGCUUGGUUUUCUCUAGGAACGCGUUGAAGUUGAGGUUGACAUGAGCGUUGGCCAUUUGAUCUACAAGACAUUUUGCAAAGGUUUUUAGACUAAGUUCAUGAUAAUUAAGUUCAUCUAAUCAAAUUAUUUAAUGAACUCCCACUCAGAUUAGACAUCCCUCUAGUCAUCUAAGUGAUACAUGACCCGACUCAACUAGACCGUGUCCGAUCAUCAUGCGAGACGUACUAGUCAUCAUCGGUGAACAUCUCCAUGUUGAUCGUAUCUUCCAUAUGACUCAUGUUCGACCUUUCGGUCUCUUGUGUUCUGAGGCCAUGUCUGUACAUGCUAGGCUCGUCAAGUCAACCUAAGUGUGUUGCAUGUGUAAAUCAGUCUUACACCCGUUGUAUGUGGACGUUGGAAUCUAUCACACCCGAUCAUCACGUGGUGCUUCGAAAGAACGAACUUUCGCAACGGCGCACAGUUAGGGGGAACACUUUCUUGAAAUUAUUGUGAGGGAUCAUCUUAUUUACUACCGUCGUUCUAAGCAAAUAAGAUGCAAAAACAUGAUAAACAUCACAUGCAAUCAAAUAGUGACAUGAUAUGGCCAAUAUCAUUUUGCUCCUUUUGAUCUCCAUCUUCGAGGCGCCAUGAUCAUCAUCGUCACCGGCAUGACACCAUGAUCUCCAUCAUCAUGAUCUCCAUUAUCGUGUCUUCAUGAAGUUGUCACGCCAACGAUUACUUCUACUUCUAUGGCUAACGGUUUAGCAAUAAAGUAAAGUAAUUACAUGGCGUUAUUCAAUGACACGCAGGUCAUACAAAAAAUAAAGACAACUCCUAUGGCUCCUGCCAGUUGUCAUACUCAUCGACAUGCAAGUCGUGAUUCCUAUUACAAGAACAUGAUCAUUCUCAUACAUCACAUAUAUUUCAUUCAUCACAUCCUUUUGGCCAUAUCACAUCACAAGGCAUAUGCUGCAAAAACAAGUUAGGCGUCCUCUAAUUGUUGUUGCAUAUUUUUACGUGGCUGCUAUAGGUUACUAGCAAGAACGUUUCUUACCUACGCCAAAACCACAACGUGAUAUGCCAAUUUCUAUUUACCCUUCAUAAGGACCCUUUUCAUCGAAUCCGAUCCGACUAAAGUGGGAGAGAUAGACACCCGCUAGCCACCUUAUGCAACUAGUGCAUGUCAGUCGGUGGAACCUGUCUCACGUAAGUGUACGUGUAAGGUCGGUCCGGGCCGCUUCAUCCCGCGAUGUCGCCGAAACAAGAUAAGACUAGUAGUGGCAAGAAAAUUGACAACAUCUACGCCCACAACAAGAUUGUGUUCUACUCGUGCAUAGAAACUACGCAUAGACCUAGCUCAUGAUGCCACUGUUGGGGAACGUUGCAGAAAAUAAAAAAUUUCUACACUUCACCAAGAUCAAUCUAUGGAGUCAUCUAGCAACAAGAGAGAGGAGUGCAUCUACAUACCCUUGUAGAUCACGCGCGGAAGCAUUCAAGAGAACGGGGUUGAGGGAGUCGUACUCGUCGUGAUCCAAAUCACAGAAGAUCCUAGUGCCGAACGGACGGCACCUCCGCGUUCAACUCAUGUACGGUUGGGGAAGACGUCUCCUCCUUCUUGAUCCAGCAAGGGGAAGGGAGAGGUUGAUGGAGAUCCAGCAGCACGACGGCGUGGUGGUGGAAGUAGCGCCGAUCUCGGCAGGGCUUCGCCAAGCUCAGCGAGAGGGAGAGGUGUUACGAGGGGAGAGGGAGGCGCCAGGAGCAGAGGUGAGCAGCCCUCCCUCCCCUCCUCUUUAUUUAGGGGCCCUGGGGGGGCACCGGUCCCCUAGAGAUCCCAUCUCAAGGGGGGGCGGCGGCCAAGGGGGGAACUUGCCCCCCAAGGCAAGUAGGGCGCCCCCCCCCCCCCGCCCCUAGGGUUUCCAACCCUAGACGCAAGGGAGGCCCAAGGGGGGCGCACCAGCCCACCAGGGGCUGGUUCCCCUCCCACUUCAGCCCAUGAGGCCCUCCGGGAUAGGUGGCCCCACCCGGUGGAUCCUCGGGACCCUUCCGGUGGUCCCGGUACAAUACCGGUGACCCCGAAACUUUCCCGGUAGCCGAAACUGGACUUCCUAUAUACAAUUCUUCACCUCCAGACCAUUCCGGAACUCCUCGUGACAUCCGGGAUCUCAUCCGGGACUCCGAACAACUUUCGGAUUACCGCAUACUAAUAUGUCUACAACCCUAGCGUCACCGAACCUUAAGUGUGUAGACCCUACGGGUUCGGGAGACACGCAGACAUGACCAAGAUGACUCUCCGGUCAAUAACCAACAGCGGGAUCUGGAUACCCAUGCUGGCUCCCACAUGCUCCUUGAUGAUCUCAUCGGAUGAACCACGAUGUCGAGGAUUCAAGUAAUCCAGUAUACAAUUCCCUUUGUCAAUCGGUACAUUACUUGCCCGAGAUUCGAUCGUCGGUAUCCCGAUACCUUGUUCAAUCUCAUUACCGGCAAGUCAAUUUACUUGUACCGUAAUGCAUGAUCCCGUGACCAACCACUUAGUCACUUUGAGCUCAUUAUGAUGAUGCAUUACCGAGUGGUCCCAGAGAUACCUCUCCGUCAUACGGAGUGAGAAAUCCCAGUCUCGAUCCGUAUGAACCCAACAGAUAGUUUUGGGGAUACCUGUAGUAUACCUUUAUAGUCACCCAGUUACGUUGUGACAUUUGGUGCACCCAAAGCACUCCUACGGUAUCCGAGAGUUACACGAUCUCAUGGUCUAAGGAAAUGAUACUUGACAUUGGAAAAGCUCUAGCAAACGAACUACACUAUCUUGUGCUAUGCUUAGGAUUGGGUCUUGUCCAUCACAUCAUUCUCCUAAUGAUGUGAUCCCGUUAUCAAUGACAUCCAAUGUCCAUAGUCAGGAAACCAUGACUAUCUGUUGAUCAACGAGCUAGUCAACUAGAGGCUCACUAGGGACAUGUUAUGGUCUAUGUAUUCACACAUGUAUUAUGAUUUCCGGAUAACACAAUUAUACCAUGAAUAAUAGACAAUUAUCAUGAACGAGGAAAUAUAAUAAUAAUCAUUUUAUUAUUGCCUCUAGGGCAUAUUUCCAACACUUCCCUCCUUCGCCGUCCUUUAAUCUAUUUGCAUACCAUUGUGGGCUAACAAAGAGAGUUUUCAAUGUCUACCUUUGCUUCCACAUGCUUGCCAAAGUAAGGAAUGACGUAGCAAAACGAGUUGCUCCAGGCCUCACAAUUUCUUGCUUACCAUUCAAGUUUCUCAUUAAAUGAAGAACCUUUCCAUGGGCAUAAAUAAAUCUGGUUGUUCUCUUUGCUUUAGCAAUGCAAUGGCUGAACGCUUUGAUCUUCCCAAUGUCCUCUAGCAUAAGAUCCAAAAAGUGGGCAGCACAAGGUGUCCAAUACAUUGUAGGAUACUUUUCCAUUAGAAGUCUACCGGCUGCCUUGUAGUUAGACCCAUUAUCGCUAACUACUUGGACUACCAAUUCAGGGCCAAUUGCAUCAAUUUGUUCGCUCGACAGCUUUGCCACCAGAUUUGCAUCAACGGUUUCAGAAGAAACAUUGGCUGUCCUUAAGAAGAAGGUGCCUUCUGGACUAUUGACGAGGAAGUUGAUCAAGUGCCGCCCAGUCAUGUCCGUCCAGCCAUCUGACAUGAGUGAACAACCAUAUUCUUUCCAUGCAACUUCAUGCUUCCCUUUCAAGUUGUUGGUCUUGAUAUUUGCCUUCUCAAGCAAUGGUUCCCUCACUUGAUGAUAAGUAGGAGAUAUAUAAUCAGAGCCACUGUGCCCUAUAGAUUCCAAUAGAAUCUCCCAACUCCUUGAAUUGACAAUAUUGAGUGGAAGGCAAUUCUCAUACAAAAAGUCAGCUACAUGACCAUCUACAUCAUAUUUUUGCUCCUUUGUCUUCUUCUUGUAAUCCCUCAUGUUCUUUUGAGUGCCCUUUGGCAUAUGUCUCUCGGCAACCACCUCUUCCGGUGUCUUCCGAAUCUGAUCUGCAAUGGACUUUCCUUGCUUCUUUGCCACCGUCGCUGCCAUGAGUAGUCCCCUCUGAUUCCUUUUCGUGGAGGCGUUGGGGUUGGAGUUGGAAGCUCUUGAACUUCCUGCACGGUUCUCUUGUUCAGCACCUUCUUCACCAUCUUCUUAACCACCUUCAUCUCCAUCAAGAUUUUUGAAACGGAAUGAGUGAGUCUUCAAGUAGUCGUGCAUCUCCUUUCGAAUUGCAGGGGUUGUCUUGGUACACAUACUCACAAUUGUAAACCCCCAGCAAGGUGUUUCUUCAUCCUACAAGGUCCAGAGGUAAUUUGCUUGCCGCACAAAUUACACUGCAGCAACAUAAGAUCUGGCCAGAAUGCAUAUUUCCAUGCUGGAUCCUUGCUCUUUGUUGGCCUCCUCUUAGGGUCUUUGAAUGGAUCAUAGUGCUCAUCGGCUUCUUCUGCAACUUGAGCUGAUCGAACAACUUGGGCUUUCUCUGGCUGGGAGGACAUGGUGCUUGCUGUGAAUCUGUGAUAUAAGGAAAGAUAACUCCACUUAGUUGUUUUUUUUCACCAAAUCAAGCCCUAAGCUACCUAGCAGAAACACUAGAGGUCCUCCCAGCAGCAGCAGCAUCUAGAUCAGAGCAAAAGGAAAAGAGAGGAAAAGGGAUGCAUGAUAGUACUUACCAAGUUACCAGGGGAGGAGCACACAGCAGCAGCAGCAACAACAACCAGGGGAGGAGUGGAGGAGCACAACAGCAGCAGCAACAUCAACCAGGGGAGGAGUGGAAGAGCACAACAACAGCAACAUCAACUAGGGGAGGAGUGGAGGAGCACAGCAGCAGCAGCAGCAGCAACCAGAGGAGGAGGGAAGGAGCACAGCAGCAGCAACCGAAGGAGGAGGGGAGGCAGCCGCCAGGGAGAGGGUUAGGUCAGGGUGAGGGGGAAUGGAUCCUCUAUAGGGUUUCCAGGGGUGGGAUGGGCUGAUGGGCCAAGCAAAUACUGUUACAAAAACACAUAACUGUUGGGGGUCCAAAAUAAGUGAGUCGCUCGACUCAGACAUAGCGACUAGUCGUGACUAGUAGAGACUAGUGCUCGACUCAUGCUAGGAGUUGAGUCGAGAGCCUGAGUCGCUCCUGCACUGGCGACUCAUCGACUAUUCGACGACUAGUCGCGACUAAUCGAGCGACUCGAAAACAGAGGUACUAACACGUAUUGAACAAAAAUAACUGAUGAAAAUAAAAAAACAAAGAGAAGCAAAGAAACCCAAUAAAAACGAAAAAUAAACACAAAGAAAACAAACAAACAAAAAACCGAAGAAACCAAUGCAAAAGAAUGAAACCAAAAAACCCGAGAAAGAAACGAAGAAAACCGAUGAAAACCAAGAAAGAAACCAAGAAAGAAGAAAACCAAGAAAGAAAAAGAUGAAGAAAACAAAUCAGUGAAAACCAGAAAGAAAUGAAGAAACCAAUGGAAAAGCAAAGGAAACAGAAAAAUCGCAGAAGACCGGGAACAAAACAAAGAAAACCGGUGAAAAAACAAAGAAAACAUACAACCGAGAAAAACCAAGAAGAAAUUAAAAAUUGGAAGAGGGAAAAUUUUGAUUUGAACCAGUGAAGCGAUCUCUUGGGUGCCAGUAUACCUGCCAUGGGCCGGGCCUUAAAAAGCCCACGGCAGAAAACUAGGGCCCAUGCCCUACCAUCAGGCCUACUUUUCAAGCCCAAGCCCGACCCAUCUAGUAAAAAGCCCUUAGGGCUUAAGGUCGUGGGCCGGGCCUCUUCCUUAAAAUGCCAAUAUGCCAAGCCCAAGCCCGUCCAGGCCCUGCUGGUGGGCUCAAAACUCAGGCCCAAGCCCAGCCCACGGGCAAGCGCAUCAGGCCUAGGCCCUGGAUUUUAGGUCCGGGCCUGGGUGAGCCAACAGGGCCGGGACGGAGAUGGCCAGCACUAGGUGCCAGCGAUCGAAAAAAAGAUAAACGGGCCAACCCAGUUUCUAUGCGAGAUAAGAAGUCCUUCAGGUGAAAGAAGCUACCAUCUCGCUAUAAGCAAGAUAUAGAUUUCGGGGGCGCUAUUUAGGCAGCUGGCGAGCACACGUGAUCUUUUAUGUUUAUCUAUUCUGUUGGUUUUAUUUUUACUUUUAAAAAUAACAAUAUAUGAAAACAGCAGGCGGAAUUUUGAAAGUGGAUGCAUACAGGCAUCAAUUUUUUUUAAAUGGGAAUUGAUACAUUCUGUUUUAUCGGAAGCUGAUACAACAGGCCGGAUGUUUAACCGACAAAACUUGAAGCAACCGAAGUUUUUCAGCCUAUGACUUGCAACUGUGACGAGCCAGUGUACAUAUGCGCAUCAUUUGUUCUUUUUUUUUUACUGAUCAAGUAUAGAUUGAAGAGUACAGUACAGUGGAAGUGCGCUUUGUGAACUCGAAAUCACUCUGUGUGGCUUCGGUUUCGAGCUGAAUUGCGCUAUAGCUGCAGGUGUGUAUAGUUCACAACCUACAGACAGUCAGAGGCGACCUUCAUGCGAGUAAAUCAGCCGCUAGCACCAAGGCUUCUUUGAGCCAGAAAUACUUUCUGGAGGACAUGGACCAAAUCUCCAAGGUAGCACCCAAGUCACUCACGGGCCAAUGUGCGCAUUGUCUUUGUUGUUUUAGGGUGCGGGGAGCAGGUCGGCUUGCUGAUAUAUUGAGGCUUUACUUGCAAUAAUGUUAUCAGUACCAGAUAAUAGUUCAACCUGUUUUAUCCUCCGUCUUUUCUUGUAAUUUUCUAUUCACAUUGGCCAGUGAAUGACUUGGACCUGAAUCUCUCACACUCCAGACAUGACUUCCAUGUUGUUGCCGCUCUCUCUCACGCUAAACUGGAGGUAGACGCAUCACUUUUUUCUGGCGACCAACGCCCCGGCGCUCAAACGCCCUUUUUCUUUCAGCUGGCUCAGAUUACAUCAACGAUUACAAGGCCUUUUAUAGCCAUACAGCGACGUAGCGCCCACGCAACUCCUCCGGCCAAUACGCACACGUACACAACAAACUCCACAUGCAUCUACACAUGCAGCUUGAUCCGUACGUUCCGGCCGCGCGGAGCCGCGGACGACGCACUCCUAUACGCACGACGCGGCUGCCUCCAACGGCCCCUGCUGCAUGCACUAACAAACUGCAGACUAACUCAAACUGCUGACCAUCACGCCACACACAUACGCCCGCCACGCUCCCGAUCCGUCCCGCGCGCACACACGCAUGCCCGACGCGAUCGCGGUGGCUUAUGUCCAACAUUCCAGGAGCUGGAUCUGUUUGAUUGAGAAGAAACCUCUUUACGCCAGACCGUGCUGAAGCUGCUGCCUCAACUCUGAACGUAGUUGUCAACAUGGAAGGAAGAAUAUUUGCUUUGCACAAACCUGUUCCGCAAUCUUGUUUAUGGCCUACAAUGACAGUUAGUGAUCUAAAGUUCAAAUGGUUUUAAAGUUUUCAGCAACGAUGGCUGCAUGGUGGGAAUGCGAUUGCAUGCAUUGGGUAAGUGUUUAUGCUUGGUUUUUAUUCUACAUAUUUUUUAGAAAAGGUUUUUAUUCUACAUAUUGGAUUUGUUCAACAUAUGUUUAUGGCCUACAGAGGAUUUGAUCAUAUGCCGUUCUAAUUAAUUGCAUCAUCAUUUCGAAUUUCCGAGCCUGAUAUUGGCAUGUGAAAUGAAGAUCUUGCCAUUUGGCAAACUUGCAAUUUCUCCGAACUCUCCAUAUAGCUCACAGAACCAGCAACACAGCCUUGUUCGUCCCGUUUGUACAGCAAGAUGAACAUGACUUUGGACAUCAAGUGUAGUUGGACUCUUACGUUGAUAAGAAUGACAGGUAAGAAAGUGAUUUCGCGUAGAUUUAGUACUUUAGUCCAACUUCUCCGGAAUGCAAUAUGCAUGCCAAUAAGCAACAUGCUGAAUUACUAACAUUUGCAUUAGGAGGCGACAUCCCAUUGUAAUCGAAUGAUCGACUCACGCUUAAUUUGUGCUCUCUAAAUGAAAAUAGUAUGCCCUCUAAAUGAAGAUAGUAUGCCCAAAGAGAAUGGCUACAAACUAUAUAUGCUGUGACUGCAUGGCAGGAGAUGGAGCAGCAUAAGGUGCUUCGAAUUAUUAUGAUAUGCAUCUGCUGUUGGGAAUCAUUUUCUUAGAAGAUUUAGAUAAACAACAUUUUACGACCUGAGGUUUUAUUUUGAGAUAUUGGAGUCCACCAAAUCCAGUGAAAUCUCUUGUUGGCAUGCACUUCUUGUUCCGUAAAGCAAUUCCUGGUUAUAGUCUAGGUUCCUCGUCCACCUUCUUCACCAGUUGUCACCACAUUCUGUACGACUUUAUUACUGAUUCGGUAGGAGCUUCGAAACAGAGUGCAUCAGUCUAUGACCACACUCCAUACCACUUGAUUCUGCAGAAGCUUGGGAUACUUGGAGUAUAGCAAAGGGCGGCAUGUGUAUAAAAUAUAGUUUUGUGCCUUCAGACACAGAACAGUGGGUUUCCUGACAUUGCUCCGAGCUCGCUACUUCUCUUUCCCCAUCCCUUGUUCUUCCCAACAAAACAGACUUUGUAUUUCCGUUAUGCAAGUAAUGGAAAGGGGGUAGCCCAGUUCGGAAAAAAAUUGUACAAAUAUAGGAAAGUUUGUAAGUACCAAAUUUGGUACCCCGAAAUGAAUAUAAACCUCGGUUUCUUCUAGUCAAAUGAUUGAUCUCAACUAGUACUCCAACAUGAGUAAAAAGGUGUACUGCGGCUACCACAAAAAAACUCUGAAGUACCUCGACUUUACCAUGCAGUCACUUCCUUUUGAAGAGUUAACAAGAUCAACAGACUAUAUAUGCACGUAUGUCAUACUGUCGUGCCUCGUACCCAUGGCAAUCUUUGCCGCCAAGCUCUUCCACUCGGUGGAAGAAUGCAUCAAUGAGGGAGCAUUUCAUGCCGUGACUAAAAUCAUGACAAAAAUCAAGCACCGAUGUGUCGUCAAGCUAUAUGGCUUCUAUUCCCGCUCCCGAUGCAAAUUUCCGGUGUAGGAUCUUAUCAAGAGGGGGAGCUUACGCGUCCAUUCUGUGUGAGCGAGAGCUAGUGAAGGAGCUGGAUUGGUCCAGGAGAGUUGUUGUCGUGAGGAAUGCAGCUCAAGCUUUGUCGUACUUGCACCGUGAUUGUGAUGAUCCGAUCGUGCAUUGCGACAUAAAAAGCAGCAGCAUUCUCCUGGACCAUAAAGAGUAUAUGAAGCUGCAUAGCUAAUCUCUUAUAUAUUUGGCAUGUGUUUGUUUGAGAUAACUGAUCUAUCCUGUCAUGUUUCAACUUUGAAGUGUCCAGUUGAUAGAUGGAUAUAUGAAGGAAUUUAUGUGGAUUUUGUUGAUAGAUGAAGUGACAUUUUGAUUUGACAACGAGAGUGGUUUUUCUACACCCAGCUCGAUUUUGUUGAUAGAUGAAGCGACAUUGUUAAAUAGCUUUGCUUAUGUUUCACUAAGUUCCAGUUUGCUAAAAAAAACACUGAUAUUUGGUGGCAGUGCUUGGAUGAUAAUUAUGUGGUUGCUGUUGUCUAUUUUGCCUCUGAGUUUAUGUUUGCCCAAAGCCAUAUGGGAGAAAGACAUAACCGCGACAAGUCAGCCUCCAGGAAAAUUUGAUCACACUACCCAUAUCGGCCGUUCAUCAUAUGCCCUAAUUUGGUUCAUACAGGAAGGUGACUACAAUUCAUUACACGGAAAUUCUAUUUCACUAGUAGUAUCACUAUCGACACUAGAAGAAUGAUUUUUUUUCUUUUUUUUUCGAAAAGAGGGUUUACCCCAGCCUCUGCAUCAGAAAGAUGCAUACGGCUCAUAUUAUUAAAAAUAAAAUUCAGUAACAAAGUCUCCAAGUAUCGAGGUGCGAAAAAAAGUAAAAGCUCGAAAGAGCUGAAAUCCUAAGCCACAACCGGCUGGCAAACACAAUAGGAGCACUACAUGCCUAUCCUAUUACAUGACCGCCAUCCAAACCGGUUGAAAAUAUCCCGCACUACCAUCUCCCAUCGGGUAGACGCAGUAACCAAACGCUCCCUGGCCUCCGUCGGAGUGAGUAGCGACCACAUACGGAUGAAUGCCGUGGCCCUGAAGAUAACCUGCAAAAAGUGAAUGUUUGUUGAUCUGUUAAAUACUAAAUCAUUUCUGCAGUUCCAUACUGCCCAAAGUAAAGCACAAACGCCAACACGAAUGUGUCUUGUAGUAUCGGAAUCAACCCCAUCAAGCCAUGGUCCAAAUAACAUAUUGAUAGAGGUGGGCUGAUUAAUAUUAAACGCAAUAUGAAUCGACCGCCACAGAAUCUUAGCCAACGGACAAUCGAGGAAGAGAUGUUUGAUGUUUUCGUUAUUAUCGCAAAAGCUACACCUAGAUGAGCCCAUCCAGUUGCGUUUUGCCAGGUUAUCCUUAGUCAAAAUGACUUGUUUAUGCACAAACCACAUAAACACUUUGAUGCAUAAGGGAACCUUUACUCUCCAAACGUGAAUCGAGGAAGGGACAACGCUAGAGUUAAUGACAUCCAGAUACAUAGACUUAACCGAGAACGCACCAUUCUUAGUAAGUUUCCAAUGCAGCUGAUCUGGUUGCUGGGUCAGCCGAACCUCCAUUAAACGUCUAACAAGGUGGAGCCAAGCCUCCCAACGAUUUCCGACUAGCGUCCUCCGAAAACUAAUAUUGAGGGGAGUGGAUUGUAGAACAGAUGCAACGUAGGCUUCUCUACGUCGCACAAUAUUGUACAAAGUAGGAUAUUGAAGUGCAAGAGGAGUCUCCCCAAGCCACGUAUCCUCCCAAAAUCUCGUAGUGGCUCCAUUCCCGACAAUAAAUUUUGACUUGUUGAAAAAAAGUUGUUUGACUCUCAUCAAACCCUUCCAAAAAGGUGAGUCGGAAGGCCUCACAUUUACCUGGGCCAGGGUUUUAGCAUAAAGAUACUUAUUACGCAAAAUCUGAGCCCAAGUAGCUUCCGUCUCGGACGAAAGUUUAAAAAGCCAUUUGCUAAGGAGACAUAUGUUUUUAACUUCCAAAUUUUCAAUGCCUAGACCCCCUUGGUCCUUCGGCCUACAUAUUAUAUCCCACUUAGCAAGCCUAUACUUUUGUUUGAGGUCGUCAAUCUGCCAAAAGAACCGAGAUCGGUAGAAAUCUAACCUUUUCCUGACUCCCACCGGAACCUGGAAAAAGUAUAAGAGAAACAUAGGCAUACUGGUAAGGACCGAAUUAAUCAGAAUCAAUCGUCCUCCGUAUGACAUGAGCUUUCCUUUCCAACAGCUCAGUUUCUUUUCAAAGCGAUCCUCGAUGCAUUUCCACUCACUGUUAGUCAGCUUACGAUGAUGAAUGGGUAUACCUAAGUACGUAAAUGGUAAGGAACCCAAUUCACAUCCGAACAAUUGUUUAUACGUGUCCUGGUCCUCCUUUGCUCUUCCAAAGCAAAACAAUUCGCUCUUGUGAAAGUUAAUUUUGAGGCCAGAUAGUUGUUCAAAUAAGCAUAACAGCAGCUUCAUGUUUCUUGCUUUCGCCAAGUCGUGCUCCAUAAAGAUGAUUGUAUCAUCAGCAUACUGAAGAAUGGAAAUCCCUCCGUCAACUAGAUGUGGGACCAGGCCACCUACCUGCCCUGCAUCCUUUGCCCGACCUAUUAAGAUAGUGAGCAUAUCAGCCACUAUAUUAAACAGGAUCGGUGACAUCGGGUCUCUUUGCCUUAGCCCCUUGUGUGUUUGGAAAUAGUGACCUAUGUCGUCAUUCACUUUAAUCCCUACACUCCCUUUUUGCGUAAAGGAAUCAAUCUGGUUUCUCCAGGCCGGAUCAAAACCUUUCAUACGCAAAGCUUGUUGAAGGAAAGGCCAUUUAACUUUAUCAUAUGCUUUUUCAAAAUCCACUUUAAAAACUGCGCCAUCAAGUAUUUUUGAGUGGAUUUCAUGGAGCGUUUCAUGCAAGACAACAACCCCUUCAAGGAUGUUUCGAUCAGGCAUGAAAGCAGUCUGGGACGGAUGAACCACAGAGUGCGCAAACUGCGUAAGUCUGUUCGUCCCGACCUUGGUGAAGAUUUUGAAACUCACAUUAAGCAGACAUAUAGGUCUGAACUGCUCAAUGCGAACCGCGUCUGUCUUCUUAGGAAGAAGAGUUAUCGUUCCAAAAUUCAGCUUAAACAACUGAAGUUGUCGCUCAAAAAACUCCUAGAACAUGGGCAUCAAAUCACCCUUAAUAAAAUGCCAGCACUUUUUGUAGAACUCCGCCGGAAACCCAUCCGGUCCUGGAGCCUUAUUAUUCUCCAUCUGUGCAAUCGCUUCAAACACCUCUUUCUCAGAGAAAGGAGCAGUCAGGAGCUCAUUCUCGGCAGUCUCAAGUUGAAGAACAUCCUCAACCCUAGACUCAUCUAAAGACACAAAAUUCUCUUCCGGGGGACCAAACAACUGUUUAUAAUAAUUGGUAAUAUAGACUUUCAGAUUGUCUUGACCAACUAUCGUCCCUUCAUCUUGUUCUAACUAAAAAAUUCUCUUUUUACGAUGCUUCCCAUUAGCGAUCAAAUGAAAGAAUUGAGUAUUGUCCUCUCCUUGUACUAUCUUGCGAACCUUAGCUCGCAACGCCCACUUCAAUUCCUCCUCGCGAAGAAGCUGUUUAAGUCGCAUCUCCGCCUCUAUCUUUGUUUCCAACUCACUGGAAUCCAAGAUAGAAGUUUCAGCUUUAACUUCAAGGUUUUGAAUAAGUAGAAGAAGUCUCUCCUUCUCCGCCUUAUAAAUACCAUCCGUGUGCUUAGCCCAUCCUCGAAGGAACCUUCAGAGAUGACGAAUCUUACAUUGCCAUCGCUUGAUAGGCGUCCUUCCUCCUGAGUCAUUAGCCCACUCCCGAGCUAACAACUCAAGGAAACCUUCUCCUUCAAACCAGGCAAGUUCAAACGAGAAAAUGUUCUUGUUGCCCACAAACGUUUGAACCCCUGAAUCAACUAGUAACGGUGUAUGGUCAGAGACACCCCUUGUCAAUGCCUGCACGGUUACCAGAGGAAACUUCUGUUCCCAUUCGACACUUGCUAAGACACGGUCAAGUUUCUCAAACGUCGGGACCGGUAACGAAUUAGCCCAAGUGAAUUUCCUACCCGAAAGCUCUAUCUGUCUGAGAUCCAAACUUUCGAUAAUAGUGUUGAACAUAAACGACCAUCGGCCGUCAAAAUUGUCAUUAUUCUUCUCCUCCUUCCUACGAAUAAUGUUGAAAUCCCCCCCCCCCACUAAGAGGGGUAGCUGUUCGUUACCACAAAUACGAACCAGAUCCGCCAAAAAGUCUGGCUUGAGCUCUGGUUGCGCAGCUUCGCACACCGCCACCAAAGCCCAAUCAAACCCAUCUGCCUUAGUUCGAACUCGGAACUUGACGGCAAAAUCCCCAAAAACUACACUCUGGACUUCCAACGUUUCGCACUUAACCCCAAGUAAAACCCCACCGGAUCUUCCUCGAGGGGGGAGGCANNNNNNNNNNNNNNNNNNNNNNNNNNNNNNNNNNNNNNNNNNNNNNNNNNNNNNNNNNNNNNNNNNNNNNNNNNNNNNNNNNNNNNNNNNNNNNNNNNNNNNNNNNNNNNNNNNNNNNNNNNNNNNNNNNNNNNNNNNNNNNNNNNNNNNNNNNNNNNNNNNNNNNNNNNNNNNNNNNNNNNNNNNNNNNNNNNNNNNNNNNNNNNNNNNNNNNNNNNNNNNNNNNNNNNNNNNNNNNNNNNNNNNNNNNNNNNNNNNNNNNNNNNNNNNNNNNNNNNNNNNNNNNNNNNNNNNNNNNNNNNNNNNNNAAGUGGCAAGAAAUUGUGAAGUGAAGUUACUUCUUCUAGUCUCAGACAAAGCAAUAAAAUCUAAACGAUGUUCAAGAGAAGCCUCCGCUAGAAAUCUUCUUUUAACCAAGUCUCUAAGACCUCUGCUAUUCCAGAAAAUGCCUCUCAUAAUUCAUCAUAAAAAAAAUUUGCAGUGCGGAUCCUAGCACUCCUACGUGCAGCCGAGACUGGAUAAACCUUCCGUUUCCACGUCCGCUUUGGCUUAUGGUGACCAUCAGCCUGGUCAGCACAGGCAUUCUCAUCUUCUAUCGCCUCGGGCUCAUCUACAUAGAGAGACACCUCAGGAAUGGUAUCCUCCUCCGUCUCGGGUAGUGCAGGGUCAAGAUCGGCACACAAGUCAUCAAGAACCCUAACCCCCAGCGCCUCUAUCUCCGAGUCGUUCAUAGGUUUAACAGCAGCAAUGUGACGGAUCAUAUCUACCGCACGAUCAGCUUCCAAAUCAAGAAUGUCAUUAACCGACCUAGAGACCUCAAACUCAUUGUUACCAAGUGAAACUCCAAUUUGAUUUGCAUUAUGAAUAAUUUCAGCAUCAGUAAAAUGCAAAAUGGAAUUGGACUGAUUAACCGACAUACCAGUGGAGGUUUCGACGUCGCACAGCUUGGCAGCUCUCAAAACAGACCUCAGCUGCAUGUCAUCAACGUCCGGCUGCUCCCGCAGCCUCCCGCUGACCCGCCUCCCCUGGGAGACUGGGUCCGGGAUACCGCCAAAGGCGAUGACCUCCUCGCGUGAAACUUUGCAAUCUGGGCGGUCACCUCACCAAGUCGUUCAUUCAAUGCUGCAUACUUGGCAUCAAAUUCAGCUCUCAUGGCAUCAAGUCUAGCGGUUAUGGCAUCAAGUUCAACCCUCAUGGCAUCAUCGUGUCGCUGCAUUUCUCGCGACACGCUAAGAGCUGCCGCGUUUCUCAUCCAAAUCUCCGCGACCAUGUCCAAGUACCUGUCCAGCCACAUGAAGAAACGCCAGCCUUUC
This 28764-nucleotide long non-coding RNA is filed under the name Triticum aestivum (bread wheat). RNAcentral's name for it is "long non-coding RNA (TAES_LNC000579)". The record is from RNAcentral. Lineage: Eukaryota; Viridiplantae; Streptophyta; Magnoliopsida; Poales; Poaceae.